UCUAGUUGCCAGCAUUCGGUUGGGCGACUCUAGAGGGACUGCCGGCGACAAGUCGGAGGAAGUGGGGAUGACGUCAAAUCAUCAUGCCCCUUAUGACCUGGGCUACACACGUGCUACAAUGGUUGGUACAACGAGUUGCGAGUCGGUGACGGCGAGCUAAUCUCUUAAAGCCAAUCUCAGUUCGGAUUGUAGGCUGCAACUCGCCUACAUGAAGUCGGAAUCGCUAGUAAUCGCGGAUCAGCACGCCGCGGUGAAUACGUUCCCGGGCCUU
RNAcentral lists this ribosomal RNA (271 nucleotides) under uncultured Streptococcus sp. RNAcentral describes it as "partial 16S ribosomal RNA". It matches the Rfam family "Bacterial small subunit ribosomal RNA", at positions 1110 to 1382 of the family's 1533-position model. The record is from RNAcentral. Lineage: Bacteria; Bacillati; Bacillota; Bacilli; Lactobacillales; Streptococcaceae.